This 448-nucleotide ribosomal RNA is filed under the name uncultured bacterium. RNAcentral describes it as "bacterial SSU rRNA". It matches the Rfam family "Bacterial small subunit ribosomal RNA", at positions 329 to 792 of the family's 1533-position model. The record is from RNAcentral.
UGCCAGACUCCUACGGGAGGCAGCAGUGGGGAAUAUUGGGCAAUGGACGCAAGUCUGACCCAGCAACGCCGCGUGAAGGAAGAAGGCUUUCGGGUUGUAAACUUCUUUUAAGGGGGGAGAGCAGAAGACGGUACCCCUUGAAUAAGCCACGGCUAACUACGUGCCAGCAGCCGCGGUAAUACGUAGGUGGCAAGCGUUGUCCGGAUUUACUGGGUGUAAAGGGCGUGCAGCCGGGAAGACAAGUCAGAUGUGAAAUCCCGCGGCUCAACCGCGGAACUGCAUUUGAAACUGUUUUUCUUGAGUAUCGGAGAGGUAACCGGAAUUCCUAGUGUAGCGGUGAAAUGCGUAGAUAUUAGGAGGAACACCGGCGGCGAAGGCGGCCUGCUGGACCGCGACUGACGUUGAGGCUCGAAAGCGUGGGGAGCGAACAGGAUUAGAUACCCCUGUA